Molecule: non-coding RNA, 73 nt
Organism: Stegodyphus mimosarum
Lineage: Eukaryota; Metazoa; Arthropoda; Arachnida; Araneae; Eresidae
Source: Rfam
GCCAUCGUAGUGUAAUGAUCAGCACACUCGGCGCGCAUUCGAAAGGUUCGAGGUUCGAGUCCUGGCGAGGGCA